GAUGAAGAACGCAGCGAAAUGCGAUACUUGGUGUGAAUUGCAGAAUCCCGUGAACCAUCGAGUCUUUGAACGCAAGUUGCGCCCGAAGCCACUAGGCCGAGGGCACGCCUGCCUGGGCGUCACACGUCGUUGCCCCCCCAUCUACUCCUUCGGGAUUGCGGGGGGGCGGAUGAUGGCCUCCCGUGCGCCUAGCCGCGCGGUUGGCAUAAAUACCAAGUCCUCGGCGACGCACGCCACGACAAUCGGUGGUUGCGAAACCUCGGUUGCCCGUCGUGUGCGUUCGUCGCGCAUCGAGGGCUCGAAAAAAUGCCCGGCUUCGGCUCGGCUUUCAACGCGACCCCAGGUCAGGCGGGGUUACCCGCUGAAUUUAAGCAUAUCAAUAAGCGGAGGA
RNAcentral lists this unclassified non-coding RNA (391 nucleotides) under soil metagenome. RNAcentral describes it as "partial contains 5.8S ribosomal RNA, internal transcribed spacer 2, and large subunit ribosomal RNA". The stretch from base 1 to 122 matches the Rfam family "5.8S ribosomal RNA", at positions 35 to 154 of the family's 154-position model. The record is from RNAcentral.